RNAcentral lists this ribosomal RNA (287 nucleotides) under uncultured bacterium. Its description in RNAcentral is "partial 16S ribosomal RNA". It matches the Rfam family "Bacterial small subunit ribosomal RNA", at positions 773 to 1060 of the family's 1533-position model. The record is from RNAcentral.
GUGGAUUAGAUCCCUGGUAGUCCACGCCGUAAACGGUGGGUACUAGGUGUGGGUCACAUUCCACGUGAUCCGUGCCGCAGCUAACGCAUUAAGUACCCCGCCUGGGGAGUACGGCCGCAAGGCUAAAACUCAAAGGAAUUGACGGGGCCCCGCACAAGCGGCGGAGCAUGCGGAUUAAUUCGAUGCAACGCGAAGAACCUUACCUGGGUUUGACAUAUGCCGGAAACGUCCAGAGAUGGGCGCCCCUUUUUGGUCUGUAUACAGGUGGUGCACGGUCGUCGUCAACU